RNAcentral lists this transfer RNA (77 nucleotides) under Oscillospiraceae bacterium. Its description in RNAcentral is "tRNA-Met". It matches the Rfam family "tRNA". From Rfam's summary of the family: Transfer RNA (tRNA) molecules are approximately 80 nucleotides in length. Their secondary structure includes four short double-helical elements and three loops (D, anti-codon, and T loops). Lineage: Bacteria; Bacillati; Bacillota; Clostridia; Eubacteriales; Oscillospiraceae. The record is from RNAcentral.
CGCGGGGUAGAGCAGCUCGGUAGCUCGUCGGGCUCAUAACCCGGAGGUCGUUGGUUCAAAUCCUUCCCCCGCAACCA